AGAUUUCUUCGAGGCAGGGUGAAAUUCCCGACCGACGGUGACAACCGAGUGUACCUCUCAGGUUGAAGUCCGUAACCCGCGUUUUAGCGGUGGACCCAGUGCAAGUCUGGGACCGACAGUAAUAGUCUGGAUGGGAGAAGAAAAAU
This 146-nucleotide non-coding RNA is filed under the name Secundilactobacillus collinoides. RNAcentral's name for it is "Lactobacillus collinoides FMN sequence". It matches the Rfam family "FMN riboswitch aptamer (RFN element)". From Rfam's summary of the family: The RFN element is a highly conserved domain that is found frequently in the 5'-untranslated regions of prokaryotic mRNAs that encode for flavin mononucleotide (FMN) biosynthesis and transport proteins. This element is a metabolite-dependent riboswitch that directly binds FMN in the absence of proteins. In Bacillus subtilis, the riboswitch most likely controls gene expression by causing premature transcription termination within the 5' untranslated region of the ribDEAHT operon and precluding access to the ribosome-binding site of ypaA mRNA. The record is from RNAcentral. RNAcentral also lists the same sequence under 1 other name. Lineage: Bacteria; Bacillati; Bacillota; Bacilli; Lactobacillales; Lactobacillaceae.